CUUUCUUGGCGGCGAGCGGCGAACGGGUGAGUAACGUAUCGGAACGUACCUAUUUGUGGGGGAUAACGCAGCGAAAGUUGUGCUAAUACCGCAUAGGACCUGAGGGAGAAAGCAGGGGAUCCGAAAGGACCUUGCGCGAAUAGAGCGGCCGAUAUCUGAUUAGCUAGUUGGUAGGGUAAAGGCCUACCAAGGCGACGAUCAGUAGCUGGUCUGAGAGGACGACCAGCCACACUGGGACUGAGACACGGCCCAGACUCCUACGGGAGGCAGCAGUGGGGAAUUUUGGACAAUGGGGGCAACCCUGAUCCAGCCAUUCCGCGUGAGUGAAGAAGGCCUUCGGGUUGUAAAGCUCUUUCGGUGGGGACGAAAAGGCGGGCUCUAACAGAGUCUGUUCAUGGCGGUACCCGAAGAAGAAGCACCGGCUAACUACGUGCCAGCAGCCGCGGUAAUACGUAGGGUGCGAGCGUUAAUCGGAAUUACUGGGCGUAAAGGGUGCGCAGGUGGUUAUUUAAGACAGAUGUGAAAUCCCCGGGCUCAACCUGGGAACUGCGUUUGUGACUGAAUGGCUAGAGUG
Molecule: ribosomal RNA, 574 nt
Filed under: uncultured bacterium
Lineage: Bacteria
Description: bacterial SSU rRNA
Rfam family: Bacterial small subunit ribosomal RNA
Source: RNAcentral